Molecule: RNA transcript, 3139 nt
Organism: Frankliniella occidentalis (western flower thrips)
Lineage: Eukaryota; Metazoa; Arthropoda; Insecta; Thysanoptera; Thripidae
Exons: 7
Source: RefSeq, a predicted model, not a curated record
GCUGCGGCGCGGCUGGCCGCGGUGCAGGCGGGGGCAGGAGGGGUCGCGCAGGUCAGCGGCGGAGACACCGGAGAGUUCGCCGGCCCCUUCAGCGUCCGCUUCACUGCGGAGCGACUCGGGCCGGAGAGGGAGGCACCUGUCCUUGUCGUGGGACAGAGCACGGCGCCGAUACUUGCGCGCGAGGAGCAGCGCCCCGUCCAGGCGCAGGCCGUGGCGGUGGCGGGGCCUUCGCACUGGGACCACACGCAGCCCGCCGAGGAUCCAACCUGCAGCACGCCACCAGCGCUGCCCCUUCUUCAAAAAGACCGCCAUGACGAGAUAGAGCGCGACACGAAGGACGACGAGGGGAACGUGAGAAACGACGUGUUCUGCCUCGACAGCUCGUGCGAACUGUUGAUGCAGUCGGACGAAGAGGACGACGACAACGGCUGGGGGAGGGAGCUGGCCCGGGACAACGUGUCGCUCUGCGCGUCGCUAAUCGCCCUCAAGGGUGACUCUCGGCCGUCGGUGCGCGCCGAGGACAUGGCCGAGGAAGUGGCGGUGGAGUCGUCGUUACAGAAGGUGGAAGAGCCACCGGUAGCGCCAGUGGUAGAGCCGGGGCUGCAGCCGACGGAGCGAGUCCUGAGGCACUCGUCGGGCCCGAUGAGCCGCCACUGGUCCGCGAACACCGAGAGCGAACCCGAGCCGGAGGCCUCGAUGUCCGCCCCGCCGCCCCAGGAAGGCCUCUUCGGGGCGUGGGCGCCGCGUCCAUUCACGCGCUCCUCCGUGUCCGUCCAGACGUCGGAAGAGCCGCCGACCGGCUCGGAGCACGGCGAGGGGAAGGACCUGACCCCCCGGGAGCGCGCACUUGCACUGCUGCACGAGGUGGACUCGCGGCUCAACGCCAUAUUCUGUACGAGGCCGGACCCGAACGCGGAGGCCCUGCUGCUGCGGCAGGUGGGCCCGCAGCCCCGACAAGAAGUUCCUCCCUCUGAGGACGCUCGGCCUCCCGCCGCGCACCAGAAGCCCAGAACGACGAAGUUCGUGAGCCGCUUGACGACCAUAAGAACCAGACGGACGACUCCAACGCCGCCGGCCAGGCCUCCAGCCAGCACCACCAGGGUGGGCACCGUAGGGCAAACCAGCGACACCGUGGGGCAGGCUGGUCGCCCAGGAGGCGGUGCGGUCUCCAAGCCCCGCAAAGAGGCUGACGCGGACGCGAGGACUCUGGCCGUGCCGGUCGUCAGCCACGCUCAGGGCCGCGCGCGCAGCUGGGAGCGGGCUCGCAGCCGGCCGAGGGGAAGGCCCGGGGGUGGCGGCGGCGGUGGUGGCGGGGUCGGAACCGGCGGGGAGAGGUCCAUCGAGCGGUCCAGGAGCCCCUCCACCGACAGAUCCGAUGACUUCCUGAGGAGCACACGUCACAAGGGACACCACAGUGACGCCUGUCACAGGGGGUAGGUCGACACGCCCACACGGCCACGCGCCGGUACUUUCCCGGACGCGGACUGGACUGGACCUUCUCUUCCUGUCGGCACGCGCGAAGGGAUAGGCUGCGGCCGGGCGAGGGGCGCCAGGUGGCGGGCGGCAGGCGCAAUCUCGCGCCGCCCCCACACCACCCGCCGCGCGCGCCCCGUGCCGCCGGCCUCCGCGAGGGAAGGACGGGCGCCCGCCUGCGCCUCAGCCGCUCCAGCAGCGGCGCCCGCCAGGCGAGCCAGGCGCUCGGCGGGGUGCUCGGCCUGGCGCGGCAGCCCUUCGAGCGCGGCCAGACCACCAGCCUGCAGAACACGAUCCGCGCCACGCAGAUGGAGACGCUUUUCGACCCCGCCGACGUGGCCGCCCUGCGCCCGCACGUGGAGCGCAUCCCCAUGAGCCCGCACUGCGCCGCGGCCAUCAACUCGGUCAAGGCGGCGCAGCCCCGCGAGCCCACGCCGCUGUCCAACCUGGAGUACCUGCCGCCGCUCCCGGACAGGAGGCCCUCCUCCACCGCGAGCCUGACGGAGGCCAUCGCCAGGAUCCUACAGAUCGACCCCAGCUCCGUGGCCACUUCACCCGGGCGAACGGUUGUCACCCAGAGCCGACCCGCUCCCGCUGGAUCCAGUCAACUCCACGAGCAGGCCCAGCCCACCCCGUCAGGCGCGGGACCUGCCCAGGUGGACGAUGCACCGGCCCUCAGCUCACUCUACCGGCCGACGGUGUCCUCGGGAGGCGCGGCGUCGACAGCGGCGCGCUCUGCUUGGAGAAGCGUUCCACAAGUUCGGACUCCAAGGCCGACCUUGAUGCAGAGGGAGUCCGGGUCCACCGCAGGCGGCACCGGGGCCUCCGGGGCUGUGGGUCUGCGCGCCGCACACGCCCGGCGGGGUGCGGACAGCAAGGUGAGUGCGGGCGGCGGGCGUGCAGUCGCCGCGAGGACAGUCGGCGGCACGCUGAGGCCGGACCUGACCACAAGGUGCAGAGGGUCAAUCCUCCUGCGGGGUCGGUGAACAAGAGCGGGGCCCACGUAGGGCGUAAGGCUCUCUGGAAGGGGCGCGCAGGCCGGGCCCACUACGGGGCCCACCACCAGGGCGCCGAGGUCAGGAGAGAAAGAGAUCAGCUCGACAGUCGCACGUUCAAGAUUACGAGUACGAUGCAGACCGUGCGACCCACAGUAAAGACAGCCACCCAAAUCGCACAGCUGACUGCCAGGCUUCGUCUACGCCAUGGCUGUAAGCCCAGAACUAUCCAAAACCCCGUCAGUAACGAUUGCACGCAGUGGUCGUUGCCCCACAUAGACCGCUCCCCAGCCUACGGACAUCCACAACCCGAGCCGAGCUGCAGGGACAGGGAAGUGCCCGUCAGUGCUCUGGCACCACCAGCCUCCGUGCCAACUCUCAGCCUCGAACGGCAGCAGGACCGAAGGGAAAGGAAAUAAGCAAACAGGUUUGAUUUUUAAAAUUGUUAUUAUAAUAUAAAUAGUGCACAAACAGUGAUAAAAGUAUAUGUUUGAGCGUAUAAGUUGGGUACAUGACAGGAAAGAUGGGAGAAAAAAAGAGGGACCAAAAUGAAGAUAGAAUGGUCCACUUCUAUAUACAGCGCAUGUUUCAGGGACACUGCAAAAUGAAGAAUGUUCAAACAUACGAAACAUUGGAAGAAUAAAAGUUGAUGUAUCCCCAACCACCUCAAA